This 513-nucleotide ribosomal RNA is filed under the name uncultured Bacteroidales bacterium. Its description in RNAcentral is "bacterial SSU rRNA". It matches the Rfam family "Bacterial small subunit ribosomal RNA", at positions 126 to 636 of the family's 1533-position model. The record is from RNAcentral. Lineage: Bacteria; Pseudomonadati; Bacteroidota; Bacteroidia; Bacteroidales.
CUUCCGCUUACUCGGGGAUAGCCUUUCGAAAGAAAGAUUAAUACCCGAUUGUAUCUUAAGCACGCAUGAGAUUAAGAUUAAAGAUUUAUCGGUAAGCGAUGGGGAUGCGUUCCAUUAGGCAGUUGGCGGGGUAACGGCCCACCAAACCUACGAUGGAUAGGGGUUCUGAGAGGAAGGUCCCCCACAUUGGAACUGAGACACGGUCCAAACUCCUACGGGAGGCAGCAGUGAGGAAUAUUGGCCAAUGGGCGAGAGCCUGAACCAGCCAAGUAGCGUGAAGGAUGACGGCCCUACGGGUUGUAAACUUCUUUUGUGCGGGAAUAAAGGAGCCUACGUGUAGGCUUUUGCAUGUACCGUAACGAAUAAGCAUCGGCUAACUCCGUGCCAGCAGCCGCGGUAAUACGGAGGAUGCGAGCGUUAUCCGGAUUUAUUGGGUUUAAAGGGAGCGUAGACGGGUUUUUAAGUCAGCUGUGAAAGUUUGGGGCUCAACCUUAAAAUUGCAGUUGAAACUGG